UACGUAGGGUGCAAGCGUUGUCCGGAAUUAUUGGGCGUAAAGGGCUCGUAGGCGGUCCGUCACGUCGGGAGUGAAAACUUGGGGCUUAACCCCAAGCCUGCUUCCGAUACGGGCGGACUAGAGGUAGGCAGGGGAGAACGGAAUUCCUGGUGUAGCGGUGAAAUGCGCAGAUAUCAGGAGGAACACCGGUGGCGUAGGCGGGUCUCUGGGCAGUAACUGACGCUGAGGAGCGAAAGCGUGGGGAGCGAACAGG
This 253-nucleotide ribosomal RNA is filed under the name uncultured bacterium. RNAcentral describes it as "partial 16S ribosomal RNA". It matches the Rfam family "Bacterial small subunit ribosomal RNA", at positions 524 to 776 of the family's 1533-position model. The record is from RNAcentral.